Molecule: ribosomal RNA, 1300 nt
Filed under: Staphylococcus aureus
Lineage: Bacteria; Bacillati; Bacillota; Bacilli; Caryophanales; Staphylococcaceae
Description: partial 23S ribosomal RNA
Rfam family: Bacterial large subunit ribosomal RNA
Source: RNAcentral
CGGGAAGAGCCCAAACCAACAAGCUUGCUUGUUGGGGUUGUAGGACACUCUAUACGGAGUUACAAAGGACGACAUUAGACGAAUCAUCUGGAAAGAUGAAUCAAAGAAGGUAAUAAUCCUGUAGUCGAAAAUGUUGUCUCUCUUGAGUGGAUCCUGAGUACGACGGAGCACGUGAAAUUCCGUCGGAAUCUGGGAGGACCAUCUCCUAAGGCUAAAUACUCUCUAGUGACCGAUAGUGAACCAGUACCGUGAGGGAAAGGUGAAAAGCACCCCGGAAGGGGAGUGAAAUAGAACCUGAAACCGUGUGCUUACAAGUAGUCAGAGCCCGUUAAUGGGUGAUGGCGUGCCUUUUGUAGAAUGAACCGGCGAGUUACGAUUUGAUGCAAGGUUAAGCAGUAAAUGUGGAGCCGUAGCGAAAGCGAGUCUGAAUAGGGCGUUUAGUAUUUGGUCGUAGACCCGAAACCAGGUGAUCUACCCUUGGUCAGGUUGAAGUUCAGGUAACACUGAAUGGAGGACCGAACCGACUUACGUUGAAAAGUGAGCGGAUGAACUGAGGGUAGCGGAGAAAUUCCAAUCGAACCUGGAGAUAGCUGGUUCUCUCCGAAAUAGCUUUAGGGCUAGCCUCAAGUGAUGAUUAUUGGAGGUAGAGCACUGUUUGGACGAGGGGCCCCUCUCGGGUUACCGAAUUCAGACAAACUCCGAAUGCCAAUUAAUUUAACUUGGGAGUCAGAACAUGGGUGAUAAGGUCCGUGUUCGAAAGGGAAACAGCCCAGACCACCAGCUAAGGUCCCAAAAUAUAUGUUAAGUGGAAAAGGAUGUGGCGUUGCCCAGACAACUAGGAUGUUGGCUUAGAAGCAGCCAUCAUUUAAAGAGUGCGUAAUAGCUCACUAGUCGAGUGACACUGCGCCGAAAAUGUACCGGGGCUAAACAUAUUACCGAAGCUGUGGAUUGUCCUUUGGACAAUGGUAGGAGAGCGUUCUAAGGGCGUUGAAGCAUGAUCGUAAGGACAUGUGGAGCGCUUAGAAGUGAGAAUGCCGGUGUGAGUAGCGAAAGACGGGUGAGAAUCCCGUCCACCGAUUGACUAAGGUUUCCAGAGGAAGGCUCGUCCGCUCUGGGUUAGUCGGGUCCUAAGCUGAGGCCGACAGGCGUAGGCGAUGGAUAACAGGUUGAUAUUCCUGUACCACCUAUAAUCGUUUUAAUCGAUGGGGGGACGCAGUAGGAUAGGCGAAGCGUGCGAUUGGAUUGCACGUCUAAGCAGUAAGGCUGAGUAUUAGGCAAAUCCGGUACUCGUUAAGGCUGA